CGACGGUGAGGUAACACGUAUCCAACCUGCCGUCUACUCUUGGACAGCCUUCUGAAAGGAAGAUUAAUACAAGAUGGCAUCAUGAGUCCGCAUGUUCACAUGAUUAAAGGUAUUCCGGUAGACGAUGGGGAUGCGUUCCAUUAGAUAGUAGGCGGGGUAACGGCCCACCUAGUCUUCGAUGGAUAGGGGUUCUGAGAGGAAGGUCCCCCACAUUGGAACUGAGACACGGUCCAA
Molecule: ribosomal RNA, 234 nt
Filed under: uncultured bacterium
Lineage: Bacteria
Description: partial 16S ribosomal RNA
Rfam family: Bacterial small subunit ribosomal RNA
Source: RNAcentral